CCUACGGGGGGCUGCAGUGGGGAAUAUUGCGCAAUGGGCGAAAGCCUGACGCAGCGACGCCGCGUGAGGGAUGAAGGUCUUCGGAUCGUAAACCUCUGUCAGCAGGGAAGAACGGUCACUGUGCUAAUCAGCAGUGAAUUGACGGUACCUGCAAAGGAAGCACCGGCUAACUCCGUGCCAGCAGCCGCGGUAAUACGGAGGGUGCGAGCGUUAAUCGGAAUUACUGGGCGUAAAGCGCUCGUAGGCGGUAUGUCAAGUCAAGGGUGAAAUCCCCGCGCUCAACGUGGGAACUGCCUUUGAAACUGGCAGACUGGAGUGUGUGAGAGGAUAGUGGAAUUCGAGGUGUAGGAGUGAAAUCCGUAGAUAUCUGGAGGAACUUCAGUGGCGAAGGCGACUAUCUGGCACAUAACUGACGCUGAGGAGCGAAAGCGUGGGUAGCGAACAGGAUUAGAUACCCUUGUAGUC
RNAcentral lists this ribosomal RNA (465 nucleotides) under uncultured bacterium. RNAcentral describes it as "partial 16S ribosomal RNA". It matches the Rfam family "Bacterial small subunit ribosomal RNA", at positions 338 to 795 of the family's 1533-position model. The record is from RNAcentral.